GUGGUCCUGCUCUCUGUAUGUAUAUAGUAGGUUAAGAAGUUGGAGGCCUUUCACUCUGAUACUGCUCUCUGUAUGUAUAUAGUAGGUUAAGAAGUUGGAGACCUUUCACUCUGAUACUGCUCUCUGUAUGUAUAUAGUAGGUUAAGAAGUUGGAGGCCUUUCACUCUGAUACUGCUCUCUGUAUGUAUAUAUAGUAGGUUAAGAAGUUGGAGACCUUUCACUCUGUGGUCCUGCUCUCUGUAUGUAUAUAGUAGGUUAAGAAGUUGGAGACCUUUCACUCUGUGGUCCUGCUCUCUGUAUGUAAAUAGUAGGUUAAGAAGUUGGAGACCUUUCACUCUGUGGUCCUGCUCUCUGUAUGUAUAUAGUAGGUUAAGAAGUUGGAGGCCUUUCACUCUGUGGUACUGCUCUCUGUAUGUAUAUAGUAGGUUAAGAAGUUGGAGACCUUUCACUCUGUGGUACUGCUCUCUGUAUGUAUAUAGUAGGUUAAGAAGUUGGAGGCCUUUCACUCUGAUACUGCUCUCUGUAUGUAGUAGGUUAAGAAGUUGGAGACCUUUCACUCUGGUACUGCUCUCUGUAUAUAUAUAUAGUAGGUUAAGAAGUUGGAGACCUUUCACUCUGAUACUGCUCUCUGUAUGUAUAUAGUAGGUUAAGAAGUUGGAGACCUUUCACUCUGAUACUGCUCUCUGUAUGUAUAUAGUAGGUUAAGAAGUUGGAGACCUUUCACUCUGUGGUACUGCUCUCUGUAUGUAUAUAGUAGGUUAAGAAGUUGGAGACCUUUCACUCUGUGGUCCUGAUCUCUGUAUGUAUAUAGUAGGUUAAGAAGUUGGAGACCUUUCACUCUGUGGUCCACUGCUCUCUGUAUGUAUAUAGUAGGUUAAGAAGUUGGAGACCUUUCACUCUGAUACUGCUCUCUGUAUGUAGUAGGUUAAGAAGUUGGAGACCUUUCACUCUGUGGUACUGCUCUCUGUAUGUAGUAGGUUAAGAAGUUGGAGGCCUUUCACUCUGUGGUCCUGAUCUCUGUAUGUAUAUAGUAGGUUAAGAAGUUGGAGGCCUUUCACUCUGAUACUGCUCUCUGUAUGUAUAUAGUAGGUUAAGAAGUUGGAGACCUUUCACUCUGUGGUCCUGCUCUCUGUAUGUAUAUAGUAGGUUAAGAAGUUGGAGACCUUUCACUCUGUGGUACUGCUCUCUGUAUGUAUAUAGUAGGUUAAGAAGUUGGAGACCUUUCACUCUGUGGUACUGCUCUCUGUAUGUAGUAGGUUAAGAAGUUGGAGACCUUUCACUCUGUGGUCCUGAUCUCUGUAUGUAUAUAGUAGGUUAAGAAGUUGGAGACCUUUCACUCUGAUACUGCUCUCUGUAUGUAUAUAGUAGGUUAAGAAGUUGGAGACCUUUCACUCUGUGGUACUGCUCUCUGUAUG
Non-coding RNA from Oncorhynchus mykiss (rainbow trout), 1415 nucleotides. NCBI's taxonomy places the organism in Eukaryota, Metazoa, Chordata, Actinopteri, Salmoniformes, Salmonidae. The record is from RefSeq and is a predicted model, not a curated record.